This 500-nucleotide ribosomal RNA is filed under the name uncultured bacterium. RNAcentral describes it as "partial 16S ribosomal RNA". It matches the Rfam family "Bacterial small subunit ribosomal RNA", at positions 29 to 523 of the family's 1533-position model. The record is from RNAcentral.
AUUGAACGCUGGCGGCAUGCUUUACACAUGCAAGUCGAACGGCAGCACGGGGGCAACCCUGGUGGCGAGUGGCGAACGGGUGAGUAAUGUAUCGGAACGUACCCGACAAUGGGGGACAGCUCGGCGAAAGCCGGAUUAAUACCGCAUAUGCCCUGAGGGGGAAAGCAGGGGAUCGAAAGACCUUGCGUUGUCGGAGCGGCCGAUAUCAGAUUAGCUAGUUGGUGGGGUAAAGGCCUACCAAGGCGACGAUCUGUAGCUGGUCUGAGAGGACGACCAGCCACACUGGGACUGAGACACGGCCCAGACUCCUACGGGAGGCAGCAGUGGGGAAUUUUGGACAAUGGGGGCAACCCUGAUCCAGCCAUGCCGCGUGAGUGAAGAAGGCCUUCGGGUUGUAAAGCUCUUUCGGACGGAAAGAAAUCGCACUUGAUAAUACCUUGUGUGGAUGACGGUACCGUAAGAAGAAGCACCGGCUAACUACGUGCCAGCAGCCGCCGUAA